ACAGCAGCAGCCGCGGUAAUACGUAGGGUGCAAGCGUUAAUCGGAAUUACUGGGCGUAAAGCGUGCGCAGGCGGUUAUAUAAGUCAGAUGUGAAAUCCCCGGGCUCAACCUGGGAACUGCAUUUGAGACUGUAUGGUUAGAGUGUGUCAGAGGGGGGUAGAAUUCCACGUGUAGCAGUGAAAUGCGUAGAUAUGUGGAGGAAUACCGGUGGCGAAGACAGCCCCCUGGGAUAACACUGACGCUCAUGCACGAAAGCGUGGGGAGCAAACAGGAUUAGAUACCCGCGUAGUCCCUGUCUCUUAUAA
RNAcentral lists this ribosomal RNA (305 nucleotides) under uncultured bacterium. RNAcentral describes it as "partial 16S ribosomal RNA". It matches the Rfam family "Bacterial small subunit ribosomal RNA", at positions 505 to 809 of the family's 1533-position model. The record is from RNAcentral.